Molecule: long non-coding RNA, 213 nt
Filed under: Linum usitatissimum (flax)
Lineage: Eukaryota; Viridiplantae; Streptophyta; Magnoliopsida; Malpighiales; Linaceae
Description: long non-coding RNA (LUSI_LNC003173)
Source: RNAcentral
UUCAACCAAAGUUUCAAGUUUAAGAGGGAAUUUCAAGUAUUUGAAUGACAAAGAUUCAAUUAAGCAAUCAAGUGGAAAACUAGCAUCCUAAUUCAUCCCAUAAUUUCCAACACAUUUCACGAAAGAAGUCACACUAGAGAGCCAGAAGGGUGAUACCGAUGAAACGAAGAUUGAUGGUGAGACUGGAUAAAAGCUUUGUUCGGGACCUGCCAA